AAUGAACGUUGGCGGCGUGGAUUAGGCAUGCAAGUCGAGCGUGUACCCGCAAGGGGAAAGCGGCAAACGGGGUAGGAACGCGUAGGUCACGUACCCCUCGGCCGGGGAUAGCCACGGGAAACUGUGGGUAAUACCCGAUGACGCCGAGAGGCCAAAGGUGUGAUUCCGCCGGGGGAGCGGCCUGCGUAGUAUUAGCUAGUUGGUGAGGUAACGGCUCACCAAGGCGAAGAUGCUUAGGGGGUGUGAGAGCAUGACCCCCACCACUGGGACUGAGAUACUGCCCAGACACCUACGGGUGGCUGCAGUCGAGAAUCUUCGGCAAUGGGGGCAACCCUGACCGAGCGACGCCGCGUGUGGGAUGAAGGCCCUUGGGUUGUAAACCACUGUCAGAGGGGAUGAAACGAUCAUGGGUUCUCCCAUGGGCCUGACAUAGCCUCAGAGGAAGCACGGGCUAAGUUCGUGCCAGCAGCCGCGGUAAUACGAACUGUGCAAACGUUAUUCGGAAUCACUGGGUAC
Molecule: ribosomal RNA, 516 nt
Filed under: uncultured bacterium
Lineage: Bacteria
Description: bacterial SSU rRNA
Rfam family: Bacterial small subunit ribosomal RNA
Source: RNAcentral